Molecule: ribosomal RNA, 804 nt
Filed under: uncultured Mycobacterium sp.
Lineage: Bacteria; Bacillati; Actinomycetota; Actinomycetes; Mycobacteriales; Mycobacteriaceae
Description: bacterial SSU rRNA
Rfam family: Bacterial small subunit ribosomal RNA
Source: RNAcentral
GUAAAGAGCUCGUAGGUGGUUUGUCGCGUUGUUCGUGAAAUCUCACGGCUUAACUGUGAGCGUGCGGGCGAUACGGGCAGACUAGAGUACUGCAGGGGAGACUGGAAUUCCUGGUGUAGCGGUGGAAUGCGCAGAUAUCAGGAGGAACACCGGUGGCGAAGGCGGGUCUCUGGGCAGUAACUGACGCUGAGGAGCGAAAGCGUGGGGAGCGAACAGGAUUAGAUACCCUGGUAGUCCACGCCGUAAACGGUGGGUACUAGGUGAGGGUUUCCUUCCUUGGGAUCCGUGCCGUAGCUAACGCAUUAAGUACCCCGCCUGGGGAGUACGGCCGCAAGGCUAAAAGUCAAAGGAAUUGACGGGGGCCCGCACAAGCGGCGGAGCAUGUGGAUUAAUUCGAUGCAACGCGAAGAACCUUACCUGGGUUUGACAUGCACAGGACGCGUCUAGAGAUAGGCGUUCCCUUGUGGCCUGUGUGCAGGUGGUGCAUGGCUGUCGUCAGCUCGUGUCGUGAGAUGUUGGGUUAAGUCCCGCAACGAGCGCAACCCUUGUCUCAUGUUGCCAGCGGGUAAUGCCGGGGACUCGUGAGAGACUGCCGGGGUCAACUCGGAGGAAGGUGGGGAUGACGUCAAGUCAUCAUGCCCCUUAUGUCCAGGGCUUCACACAUGCUACAAUGGCCGGUACAAAGGGCUGCGAUGCCGUAAGGUUAAGCGAAUCCUUUUAAAGCCGGUCUCAGUUCGGAUUGGGGUCUGCAACUCGACCCCAUGAAGUCGGAGUCGCUAGUAAUCGCAGAUCAGCAACGCUGCG